AAUCCAUAGGUUAAUGAGGCGAACCGGGGGAACUGAAACAUCUAAGUACCCCGAGGAAAAGAAAUCAACCGAGAUUCCCCCAGUAGCGGCGAGCGAACGGGGAGGAGCCCAGAGCCUGAAUCAGCAUGUGUGUUAGUGGAAGCGUCUGGAAAGGCGCGCGAUACAGGGUGACAGCCCCGUACACAAAAGCGCAUGUGCUGUGAGCUCGAUGAGUAGGGCGGGACACGUGGUAUCCUGUCUGAAUAUGGGGGGACCAUCCUCCAAGGCUAAAUACUCCUGACUGACCGAUAGUGAACCAGUACCGUGAGGGAAAGGCGAAAAGAACCCCGGCGAGGGGAGUGAAAAAGAACCUGAAACCGUGUACGUACAAGCAGUGGGAGCCCCACCACCAAAGCAUUUGCUGUACCGCGUUGACGGAGCGAAGCGACGUCAAACCGAUAAAACAGCAGUGUAAAGUGAGCCGCAGGGCGCUU
Molecule: ribosomal RNA, 473 nt
Filed under: Salmonella enterica subsp. enterica serovar Enteritidis
Lineage: Bacteria; Pseudomonadati; Pseudomonadota; Gammaproteobacteria; Enterobacterales; Enterobacteriaceae
Description: partial 23S ribosomal RNA
Rfam family: Bacterial large subunit ribosomal RNA (bases 1-366)
Source: RNAcentral